CCGCCCGUAGCUCAGUUUGGUAGAGCAGCGGCCUUUUAAGCCGAGGGUCCCAGGUUCGAGUCCUGGCGGGCGGACUA
This 77-nucleotide transfer RNA is filed under the name bacterium. Its description in RNAcentral is "tRNA-Lys". It matches the Rfam family "tRNA". Rfam says of the family: Transfer RNA (tRNA) molecules are approximately 80 nucleotides in length. Their secondary structure includes four short double-helical elements and three loops (D, anti-codon, and T loops). Further hydrogen bonds mediate the characteristic L-shaped molecular structure. tRNAs have two regions of fundamental functional importance: the anti-codon, which is responsible for specific mRNA codon recognition, and the 3' end, to which the tRNAs corresponding amino acid is attached (by aminoacyl-tRNA synthetases). tRNAs cope with the degeneracy of the genetic code in two manners: having more than one tRNA (with a specific anti-codon) for a particular amino acid; and 'wobble' base-pairing, i.e. permitting non-standard base-pairing at the 3rd anti-codon position. The record is from RNAcentral.